This 464-nucleotide ribosomal RNA is filed under the name uncultured Acholeplasma sp. RNAcentral describes it as "bacterial SSU rRNA". It matches the Rfam family "Bacterial small subunit ribosomal RNA", at positions 920 to 1378 of the family's 1533-position model. The record is from RNAcentral. Lineage: Bacteria; Bacillati; Mycoplasmatota; Mollicutes; Acholeplasmatales; Acholeplasmataceae.
GACGGACCCGCACAAGCGGUGGAUCAUGUUGUUUAAUUCGAUGAUACGCGAAGAACCUUACCAGGUCUUGACACUCCCCGCGAUGCUUUUAGAGAUAAAGCGGAGGUAUUCGGGGAGACAGGUGGUGCAUGGUUGUCGUCAGCUCGUGUCGUGAGAUGUUGGGUUAAGUCCCGCAACGAGCGCAACCCCUAUUGCUAGUUACCAUCAUUAAGUUGGGGACUCUAGCGAGACUGCCAGUGAUAAACUGGAGGAAGGUGGGGAUGACGUCAAAUCAUCAUGCCCCUUAUGACCUGGGCUACAAACGUGAUACAAUGGCUGGAACAAAGGGAUGCGAAGCAGUGAUGUGGAGCGAAACCCAUAAAAACAGUCUCAGUUCGGAUUGAAGUCUGCAACUCGACUUCAUGAAGUCGGAAUCGCUAGUAAUCGCGGAUCAGAACGCCGCGGUGAAUACGUUCUCGGGGUUU